RNAcentral lists this unclassified non-coding RNA (26 nucleotides) under Mus musculus (house mouse). Its description in RNAcentral is "oocyte_clustered_small_RNA13036". Lineage: Eukaryota; Metazoa; Chordata; Mammalia; Rodentia; Muridae. The record is from RNAcentral.
UGGACGAGCUCACUCUCCUUGAAGGG